RNAcentral lists this ribosomal RNA (497 nucleotides) under uncultured bacterium. RNAcentral describes it as "partial 16S ribosomal RNA". It matches the Rfam family "Bacterial small subunit ribosomal RNA", at positions 28 to 507 of the family's 1533-position model. The record is from RNAcentral.
GAUGAACGCUGGCGGCGUGCCUAAUACAUGCAAGUCGAGCGAACAGACGAGGAGCUUGCUCCUCUGACGUUAGCGGCGGACGGGUGAGUAACACGUGGAUAACCUACCUAUAAGACUGGGAUAACUUCGGGAAACCGGAGCUAAUACCGGAUAAUAUAUUGAACCGCAUGGUUCAAUAGUGAAAGACGGUUUUGCUGUCACUUAUAGAUGGAUCCGCGCCGCAUUAGCUAGUUGGUAAGGUAACGGCUUACCAAGGCAACGAUGCGUAGCCGACCUGAGAGGGUGAUCGGCCACACUGGAACUGAGACACGGUCCAGACUCCUACGGGAGGCAGCAGUAGGGAAUCUUCCGCAAUGGGCGAAAGCCUGACGGAGCAACGCCGCGUGAGUGAUGAAGGUCUUCGGAUCGUAAAACUCUGUUAUUAGGGAAGAACAAAUGUGUAGGUAACUAUGCACGUCUUGACGGUACCUAAUCAGAAGGCCACGGCUAACUACGUG